RNAcentral lists this unclassified non-coding RNA (600 nucleotides) under Hevea brasiliensis (rubber tree). Lineage: Eukaryota; Viridiplantae; Streptophyta; Magnoliopsida; Malpighiales; Euphorbiaceae. The record is from RNAcentral.
GUCGAGCCGUGAGCUGUGCAACUCUUUGCUUAGCAAAAAAGAGUGGACAAGCUCAGUGAAUUUUUUGGAGUCUACACCUUUGGAUAAGGUUCCAGGUUCUGAACUUUGCCAGCAUGCAAGCCACCUGCCCAGCUUUCCUAGUGAAAGCGUGUCCAAACAGCGCCAUUGUAGUGGUGCCAAUGGUCCUUCGAGGGUUGUUCCAACGCCUGAAAAAACGCAUGUACAGAGAAAAUCAGGACAAAUGUCAAUAAGUGGUCGUGGAUGUCAUAAAAGGCCACAAAUAGCUCUAUUGGAAGAUACUAAAGGUCCAGUUGUGGUUGAUGACAUGAAGGAUCCAUCUGAUAAGCUAGAAUCGCAUCUGACAAAAAUUGACUCUCAAGAGAAAGCUCAUUUGUCAAGACAAAAGAAUAACUUCAGCAGCAAACGUGGGGAUAGGAGAAAUUCCAAAGUUUCCACGAGGGCUAAAUAUGAUUCCUUCUCUGUGAAGGCAAGUUUGGCGAGCUUCAGUUCAGCUGCUGCGGGAAACAACUUCUUUGGAUUGUAUGGUCUGAAGACAGAUGUUCAUGACAUCACAAAACUUGUAGAUGAUUUAUCAUUGAA